ACGAACGCUGGCGGCGUGCUUAACACAUGCAAGUCGAACGGAAAGGCCCUGCUUUUGUGGGGUGCUCGAGUGGCGAACGGGUGAGUAACACGUGAGUAACCUGCCCUUGACUUUGGGAUAACUUCAGGAAACUGGGGCUAAUACCGGAUAGGAGCUCCUGCUGCAUGGUGGGGGUUGGAAAGUUUCGGCGGUUGGGGAUGGACUCGCGCCUUAUCAGCUUGUUGGUGGGGUAGUGGCUUACCAAGGCUUUGACGGGUAGCCGGCCUGAGAGGGUGACCGGCCACAUUGGGACUGAGAUACGGCCCAGACUCCUACGGGAGGCAGCAGUGGGGAAUAUUGCACAAUGGGCGGAAGCCUGAUGCAGCAACGCCGCGUGCGGGAUGACGGCCUUCGGGUUGUAAACCGCUUUCGCCUGUGACGAAGCGUGAGUGACGGUAAUGGGUAAAGAAGCACCGGCUAACUACGUG
Molecule: ribosomal RNA, 467 nt
Filed under: uncultured bacterium
Lineage: Bacteria
Description: partial 16S ribosomal RNA
Rfam family: Bacterial small subunit ribosomal RNA
Source: RNAcentral